CGGCUGAAGAGGAGGUGUGCAUCAGUCAGUAAGUUCCAAUUUAUAUGAAGAACCUACAUAUGCAAAAACUUCCACAGAAUAUAAUUGGCUUCAUAUUACACUUCUUAUUGUCUUUCUGAUUCUUUUCCUCUUUAUACCAAUCUACCUGACCAGCAAUCAUGGAAUACGAAGAAAUAAUUGUUGCUGAACAAAGAAUAUAGGAUAUUUAUUUCCCUCUCACUCUAACUACUAGAUGUGCAUUUGGGUUUGGACAAAUGCAAAAAAAAAAAUCACUAAUUUUGCGGCUGCUCUGAAUACAUUCCACUAAUUUCUGUUCACAAGCAAUAAUUUUGUCAAAAUACAUUUGAGCCAAAAAACCAAAUGACCAAAUUGUGGAUGGAACUGAAUAUUUUUUUGUCCAAUAAUUCAAAGCAUUCCUCCAAAACAACUUUUUUUUGCACGUCUAUUAACUACCUCUGCCCCUUUUAUUUGUGAGAUUAUGCUUUCUGUUUCCAUGUCCUCUUUUUAUUCUCUUACCAAAUCAGAUUUUUUAUUCAGUUGUAUCUAUUCCACAUUUGGUGGAGUGGAGCGCUAUUGUUUGCACACAAGCGAUAUCAGGUUUUAUAUUUGCUUUUGCAUAUAUAUUUUUGCAUUUUUUAUUUAAAAAAAAAAAAUCUUUUUUGAAAUCUUUUUUUGGUAUGUAUGUUCUGUGUGAAUGAAGAGUGUAUUGGGCAUAACAUUUAUGCUUCUCUGUAAUCUAUGCAUUCUUUUUGAUAAUUAAAAACUUUAUAUCUG
Molecule: long non-coding RNA, 774 nt
Organism: Bombina bombina (fire-bellied toad)
Lineage: Eukaryota; Metazoa; Chordata; Amphibia; Anura; Bombinatoridae
Exons: 3
Source: RefSeq, a predicted model, not a curated record